Molecule: ribosomal RNA, 253 nt
Filed under: uncultured bacterium
Lineage: Bacteria
Description: partial 16S ribosomal RNA
Rfam family: Bacterial small subunit ribosomal RNA
Source: RNAcentral
UACGGAGGGUGCGAGCGUUGUCCGGAAUCACUGGGCGUAAAGGGCGCGUAGGCGGCCUGAUAAGUAGGGGGUGAAAUCCUGCGGCUUAACCGCAGGGCUGCCUUCUAAACUGUCAGGCUGGAGCACAGUAGAGGCAGGUGGAAUUCCCGGUGUAGCGGUGGAAUGCGUAGAGAUCGGGAAGAACACCGGAGGCGAAGGCGGCUUGCUGGGCGUGAUCUGACGCUGAGGCGCGAAAGCGUGGGGAGCGAACAGG